RNAcentral lists this ribosomal RNA (484 nucleotides) under uncultured bacterium. Its description in RNAcentral is "partial 16S ribosomal RNA". It matches the Rfam family "Bacterial small subunit ribosomal RNA", at positions 30 to 507 of the family's 1533-position model. The record is from RNAcentral.
AUUGAACGCUGGCGGCAGGCCUAACACAUGCAAGUCGAGCGGAUGAAGGGAGCUUGCUCCUGGAUUCAGCGGCGGACGGGUGAGUAAUGCCUAGGAAUCUGCCUGGUAGUGGGGGAUAACGUCCGGAAACGGGCGCUAAUACCGCAUACGUCCUGAGGGAGAAAGUGGGGGAUCUUCGGACCUCACGCUAUCAGAUGAGCCUAGGUCGGAUUAGCUAGUUGGUGGGGUAAAGGCCUACCAAGGCGGCGAUCCGUAACUGGCCUGAGAGGAUGAUCAGUCACACUGGAACUGAGACACGGUCCAGACUCCUACGGGAGGCAGCAGUGGGGAAUAUUGGACAAUGGGCGAAAGCCUGAUCCAGCCAUGCCGCGUGUGUGAAGAAGGUCUUCGGAUUGUAAAGCACUUUAAGUUGGGAGGAAGGGCAGUAAGUUAAUACCUUGCUGUUUUGACGUUACCAACAGAAUAAGCACCGGCUAACUUCGUG